AGGAGGCAGGUAGCUGGGUCCAGGGGCAGGCAGAAGGUCAUACACAGGAGGAGGCAGGUAGCUGGGUUCAGGGGCAGGAAGAAGGUCAUACACAGGAGGAGGCAGGUAGCUGGGUCCAGGGGCAGGCAGAAGGUCAUACACAGGAGGAGGCAGGUAGCUGGGUUCAGGGGCAGGAAGAAGGUCAUACACAGGAGGAGGCAGGUAGCUGGGUCCAGGGGCAGGCAGAAGGUCAUACACAGGAGGAGGCAGG
This is a long non-coding RNA of Oncorhynchus tshawytscha (Chinook salmon), 250 nucleotides long. RefSeq lists it as uncharacterized. NCBI's taxonomy places the organism in Eukaryota, Metazoa, Chordata, Actinopteri, Salmoniformes, Salmonidae. The transcript has 3 exons. The record is from RefSeq and is a predicted model, not a curated record.